This 504-nucleotide ribosomal RNA is filed under the name uncultured bacterium. RNAcentral describes it as "partial 16S ribosomal RNA". It matches the Rfam family "Bacterial small subunit ribosomal RNA", at positions 29 to 523 of the family's 1533-position model. The record is from RNAcentral.
AUUGAACGCUGGCGGCAGGCCUAACACAUGCAAGUCGAACGGUAGCACAGAGAGCUUGCUCUCGGGUGACGAGUGGCGGACGGGUGAGUAACGUCUGGGAAACUGCCCGAUGGAGGGGGAUAACUACUGGAAACGGUAGCUAAUACCGCAUAACGUCGCAAGACCAAAGUGGGGGACCUUCGGGCCUCACACCAUCGGAUGUGCCCAGAUGGGAUUAGCUAGUAGGUGGGGUAAUGGCUCACCUAGGCGACGAUCCCUAGCUGGUCUGAGAGGAUGACCAGCCACACUGGAACUGAGACACGGUCCAGACUCCUAAGGGAGGCAGCAGUGGGGAAUAUUGCACAAUGGGCGCAAGCCUGAUGCAGCCAAGCCGCGUGUAUGAAGAAGGCCUUCGGGUUGUAAAGUACUUUCAGCGGGGAGGAAGGCGGUGAAGUUAAUAACUUCACCGAUUGACGUUACCCGCAGAAGAAGCACCGGCUAACUCCGUGCCAGCCGCCGCGGUAA